This 388-nucleotide ribosomal RNA is filed under the name uncultured bacterium. Its description in RNAcentral is "bacterial SSU rRNA". It matches the Rfam family "Bacterial small subunit ribosomal RNA", at positions 30 to 419 of the family's 1533-position model. The record is from RNAcentral.
AUUGAACGCUGGCGGAAUGCUUUACACAUGCAAGUCGAACGGCAGCACGGGGCAACCUGGUGGCGAGUGGCGAACGGGUGAGUAAUACAUCGGAACGUGCCCAAUCGUGGGGGGAUAACGUAGCGAAAGUUACGCUAAUACCGCAUACGAUCUACGGAUGAAAGCGGGGGAUCGCAAGACCUCGCGCGAAUGGAGCGGCCGAUGUCAGAUUAGGUAGUUGGUGGGGUAAAGGCUCACCAAGCCAACGAUCUGUAGCUGGUCUGAGAGGACGACCAGCCACACUGGAACUGAGACACGGUCCAGACUCCUACGGGAGGCAGCAGUGGGGAAUUUUGGACAAUGGGCGCAAGCCUGAUCCAGCCAUUCCGCGUGCAGGAUGAAGGCCUUC